RNAcentral lists this ribosomal RNA (369 nucleotides) under uncultured bacterium. RNAcentral describes it as "bacterial SSU rRNA". It matches the Rfam family "Bacterial small subunit ribosomal RNA", at positions 527 to 898 of the family's 1533-position model. The record is from RNAcentral.
GGAGGGUGCAAGCGUUAUCCGGAUUCACUGGGUUUAAAGGGUGCGUAGGCGGGCUAGUAAGUCUGUUGUGAAAUCUCCGGGCUUAACCCGGAAAUUGCGGUGGAUACUAUUAGUCUUGAAUACUGUGGAGGUUAGCGGAAUAUGUCAUGUAGCGGUGAAAUGCAUAGAUAUGACAUAGAACACCAAUUGCGAAGGCAGCUGGCUACACAGAUAUUGACGCUGAGGCACGAAAGCGUGGGGAUCAAACAGGAUUAGAUACCCUGGUAGUCCACGCCCUAAACGAUGAUUACUCGACAUUUGCGAUACACAGCAAGUGUCUGAGCGAAAGCAUUAAGUAAUCCACCUGGGAAGUACGACCGCAAGGUUGAA